RNAcentral lists this long non-coding RNA (730 nucleotides) under Citrus x clementina. RNAcentral's name for it is "Citrus clementina (C. clementina) long non-coding RNA (CCLE_LNC003299)". Lineage: Eukaryota; Viridiplantae; Streptophyta; Magnoliopsida; Sapindales; Rutaceae. The record is from RNAcentral.
AGAAUUUAACAACAGGGGUUUCUUGAGGUAAUUUUUUACAAUAUAAAAAUUAAAUAAGUACUUAAAUCAAAAUAUAGGAAUUAUAGGUGUCGUCAUACAUUGCAACAAGUAUUACUGAGAACACUCAUCAGUUUUCGCUCCUAGUACCACUUUUCAUUAUUGCUAAUGACAUUUUCAGUACUAGACGCUAGUAACAAAUUUGGCAUAAACACAUUUUAAGACAUAGAUAUGUAAGUCCAUGGACUAUGUAUACUAAGCUGAUGGGCAAUGGCAUGACUUGAGAAUACGCAACACAAAAUUAAAACACGAUGAAUUAAUGGGCCCAACAUUUUUGUUUAGGCAAGGACAACAGAAGUUUGAUUGAUCCAAAGAUAAUUAUCCACAUUCAAUUAAUAUAAAGACAAAAAUAUCUCAAAGUGGAAACUGAAUGUCUAAUUAAAGAAAGAAAAACCCCGUAUAUAUAAUAAAAUUGUGUGAAAUUUUAGGCAUUGAUUGGCGCAUUUAGCAAGCGCAAUGCGAUCUACUUGUAGAAUUUCCUCCACGACGUCUUAAUGCACAGUUCCUCUACAUAUCCAAUCAUUUGUAUCAUCACUCAUUGAGUUCUUCAAUAAUUAUUGUUGUUGACUUCGAUUAAAUAAAUUACACUAAGUUAUAUUUAAUAUUGUCUUAUAUUUUCUGUAAUACUGGAUUAGACUCAGACUAAUUGAUUCAACUUAGAAGAAAACUAAAU